RNAcentral lists this transfer RNA (67 nucleotides) under Ilyoplax deschampsi. RNAcentral's name for it is "tRNA-Ile". Lineage: Eukaryota; Metazoa; Arthropoda; Malacostraca; Decapoda; Dotillidae. The record is from RNAcentral.
AAUAUAGUGCCUGAUUUAAAAGGAUAGCUUUGAUAGAGCUAAUAAUGUAUUUCUUAUACCUAUAUUA